Molecule: ribosomal RNA, 385 nt
Filed under: uncultured bacterium
Lineage: Bacteria
Description: bacterial SSU rRNA
Rfam family: Bacterial small subunit ribosomal RNA
Source: RNAcentral
AUUGAACGCUGGCGGCAUGCUUUACACAUGCAAGUCGAACGGCAGCGCGGGGGCAACCCUGGCGGCGAGUGGCGAACGGGUGAGUAAUAUAUCGGAACGUACCCAGAAGUGGGGAUAACGUAGCGAAAGUUACGCUAAUACCGCAUACGAUCUACGGAUGAAAGUGGGGGACCUUCGGGCCUCAUGCUUUUGGAGCGGCCGAUAUCUGAUUAGCUAGUUGGUGAGGUAAAGGCUCACCAAGGCGACGAUCAGUAGCUGGUCUGAGAGGACGACCAGCCACACUGGAACUGAGACACGGUCCAGACUCCUACGGGAGGCAGCAGUGGGGAAGUUUUGGACAAUGGGGGCGAACCCUGAUCCAGCAAUGCCGCGUGAGUGAAGAAGG